UGGGGAAUAUUGCACAAUGGGGGGAACCCUGAUGCAGCAACGCCGCGUGAGUGAAGAAGUACCUCGGUAUGUAAAGCUCUAUCAGCAGGGAAGAAGAUGACGGUACCUGACCAAGAAGCACCGGCUAAAUACGUGCCAGCAGCCGCGGUAAUACGUAUGGUGCAAGCGUUAUCCGGAUUUACUGGGUGUAAAGGGAGCGCAGGCGGCACGGCAAGUCAGAUGUGAAAGCCCGGGGCUCAACCCCGGGACUGCAUUUGAAACUGCCGCGCUAGAGUGUCGGAGAGGCAAGUGGAAUUCCUAGUGUAGCGGUGAAAUGCGUAGAUAUUAGGAGGAACACCAGUGGCGAAGGCGGCUUACUGGACUGUAACUGACGUUGAGGCUCGAAAGCGUGGGGAGCAAACAGG
Molecule: ribosomal RNA, 404 nt
Filed under: uncultured bacterium
Lineage: Bacteria
Description: bacterial SSU rRNA
Rfam family: Bacterial small subunit ribosomal RNA
Source: RNAcentral